RNAcentral lists this long non-coding RNA (482 nucleotides) under Manacus vitellinus (golden-collared manakin). RNAcentral describes it as "lncRNA (ENSMVIG00005017261.1)". Lineage: Eukaryota; Metazoa; Chordata; Aves; Passeriformes; Pipridae. The record is from RNAcentral.
CAGCCCCGCUCCAGGGCUCCGGGGCUUCCCCUCGGUGCCAGCAGAUGGCAAUCCCUGCCCAGGCACUGCUCGGGCUCCUCCGGAGCUCCCCUUCCCUGCCUGCCCAGCUCCCGAGGGUCCGGAGGUGCUCCUGGAAUCCACCAGCAGCUGGGAAUCCACUCCCAGCCCCCGCCCACGACCCAGAUCCAGCACCUGGAGCUUCCAGCAGCUCCCAGGAAAAAGGACUGUGGGCAAAAUCUCCUGGGAUUUUUAUUAGGGAUUGUGUGAGUCUGACUUUGAUCACUCUGCAUGGAGGAGCUGGAAAAGUGGGAUCCUCUGGAACAGGUGGCAGAAGAACAGCACAGGCACUGAGCUCUGGAGGGAGAGGGUGCAGGAGGAACCAGGAGCAGCAAAAAGGGGAAGGGAACAGAAGGCAGGUGGAAAGAGUCAAUACAGAACAGAGGGAAAGCAAAGCAUAGCCCUGGCUGAGGGGACAGGGCUGG